RNAcentral lists this ribosomal RNA (294 nucleotides) under uncultured bacterium. Its description in RNAcentral is "partial 16S ribosomal RNA". It matches the Rfam family "Bacterial small subunit ribosomal RNA", at positions 505 to 797 of the family's 1533-position model. The record is from RNAcentral.
GUGCCAGCAGCCGCGGUAACACGUAGGGAGCGAGCGUUGUCCGGAUUUAUUGGGCGUAAAGAGCUCGUAGGCGGUUUCGUAAGUCGGAUGUGAAAACUCAGGGCUCAACCCUGAGACGCCAUCUGAUACUGCGAUGACUAGGAUACGGUAGAGGUGAGUGGAAUUCCGAGUGUAGCGGUGAAAUGCGUAGAUAUUCGGAGGAACACCAAUUGCGAAGGCAGCUCACUGGGCCGCUAUCGACGCUGAGGAGCGAAAGCUAGGGGAGCAAACAGGAUUAGAUACCCCGGUAGUCCG